Molecule: ribosomal RNA, 120 nt
Filed under: Escherichia coli
Lineage: Bacteria; Pseudomonadati; Pseudomonadota; Gammaproteobacteria; Enterobacterales; Enterobacteriaceae
Description: partial 23S ribosomal RNA
Rfam family: Bacterial large subunit ribosomal RNA (bases 1-102)
Source: RNAcentral
GUCCUGAAGGAACGUUGAAGACGACGACGUUGAUAGGCCGGGUGUGUAAGCGCAGCGAUGCGUUGAGCUAACCGGUACUAAUGAACCGUGAGGCUUAACCUUACAACGCCGAAGGUGUUU